This 459-nucleotide ribosomal RNA is filed under the name uncultured Bacteroidales bacterium. RNAcentral describes it as "partial 16S ribosomal RNA". It matches the Rfam family "Bacterial small subunit ribosomal RNA", at positions 338 to 794 of the family's 1533-position model. The record is from RNAcentral. Lineage: Bacteria; Pseudomonadati; Bacteroidota; Bacteroidia; Bacteroidales.
CCUACGGGAGGCAGCAGUGAGGAAUAUUGGUCAAUGGGCGAAAGCCUGAACCAGCCAUGCCGCGUGAAGGAUGAAGGCCCUCAGGGUUGUAAACUUCUUUUGUACGGGACGAAACCCUUGAACGUGUUCGAGGCUGACGGUACCGUACGAAUAAGCAACGGCUAACUCCGUGCCAGCAGCCGCGGUAAUACGGAGGUUGCAAGCGUUAUCCGGAUUCAUUGGGUUUAAAGGGUGCGUAGGCGGGACGGUAAGUCAGGGGUAAAAGCUUGCAGCUUAACUGUAGAAUUGCCAUUGAUACUGCUGUUCUUGAGUGCAGCUGAGGUGGGCGAAAUGUGUAGUGUAGGGGUGAAAUGCUUAGAUAUUACACAGAACACCGAUGGCGAAGGCAGCUCACUAAACUGUAACUGACGCUGAGGCACGAAAGCGUGGGGAGCAAACAGGAUUAGAUACCCGGGUAGU